GUCUACAGCCAUGCCACCCUGAACACGUCCGAUCUCGUCUGAUCUCGGAAGCUAAGCAGGAUCGGGCUUUGUUAGUACUUGGAUGGGAGACCACCUAGGAAGACCAGGUGCUGUAGGCG
RNAcentral lists this ribosomal RNA (119 nucleotides) under Pteropus alecto (black flying fox). Lineage: Eukaryota; Metazoa; Chordata; Mammalia; Chiroptera; Pteropodidae. The record is from RNAcentral.